This 379-nucleotide long non-coding RNA is filed under the name Physcomitrium patens. RNAcentral describes it as "long non-coding RNA (PPAT_LNC007369)". Lineage: Eukaryota; Viridiplantae; Streptophyta; Bryopsida; Funariales; Funariaceae. The record is from RNAcentral.
AUUCUUCACAUAGAACUCCCAUUCACAUUACGGUGUUUCACACAAACACAGACUCAUUCUCUCUGCUGAACUACAAUUAGAUUUCAGCAUUCAAUCUUUCUUCUUCUCAAAUAAUACCAAUUACAUUUCCAUUCCAUAAUUUACUUCACAAUAUUCAGAAACUCUCAAUCCUCUUAUUCAAAGAAAAUAACAAACAAAAGAAAAGAGGUAGUACCAAGCUUACUCUGGCUCACAACUAUCAUAGCGAUGGCCCUCGGCUCAUGACUAUCACAAUUUGGCAUCUUAAUUAACUUCUAAAACUCCUAUAUACUUUCCCUUGAUUCUCUAGAUUCUAACCAUAAUUCUGUAAUUAACCGCUUUUAAAAACUAAAUCACUCAU